CCUCUGCCACCGCUCCAAAAAAAAGAAGCGAACAGCCUCUCUGCCUCCCACGAACCUCGCCGCCGCCACCAACGCCGGACGAUUCCGGCUACUUCCGGCAGCCCUCGCCGGAGCGCAGCACACCCACGAGCUCUCCUCGCGACGGUGCUUCCUUCCCUCCGGCCAGAUCCGCUCUUCGCGGCCGCAAGCGCUAGCGCGCGACCCCUCCCCGCGAUUAGGGUUUCGGCUGCCUCCAACUCCGGCGCGCAGCCACCCUCCUCCAUGGACGAGGACGAUCACCAUGGCCCGCACAUGGUCGAGCUCGCUGUCGUCUGCUCCGGUGCGGUGCUGGGCCAACAACCUCCGCCGCCAUGGCUCCUAGCUUGGGGGUUGGCCAUCAAGUAACAGAUAUGGAGCUACAUCACAGUUCCAAGGUUCUCAUGCCCCUGGUCUCCAGAACGACCAUGUACAACAGUUACAUAGUUGCUCCUAGCUUGGGUAAGCACCCCCAUCCCCAUGGCCAUCUGCUUGGCAGAAAAUAACAUGCACUCUUAUUUAAGUCAUUGAUGUAGUGGCUUGCAUGCAUCAUCCUUUUUAGGAGACUCGCUGAGAUUCAACUUUAGGACACUGCCAUUCUUUGAAGAUGAUACAAUUGUUUCUAUUUGGGUGUACCUAUAUAUGUGUGUGUAACUGUGUACAU
Long non-coding RNA from Triticum aestivum (bread wheat), 679 nucleotides. RefSeq lists it as uncharacterized. The record is from RefSeq and is a predicted model, not a curated record. Lineage: Eukaryota; Viridiplantae; Streptophyta; Magnoliopsida; Poales; Poaceae. The transcript is spliced from 3 exons.